Molecule: ribosomal RNA, 1141 nt
Filed under: human metagenome
Description: bacterial LSU rRNA
Rfam family: Bacterial large subunit ribosomal RNA
Source: RNAcentral
AUAUAGCUGGUUCUCCUCGAAAUAGCUUUAGGGCUAGCCUCAAGGUAAAGAUACACGGGGGUAGAGCACUGACUGUUCGCGGGGCCUUCACCGGUUACCAACAACUAUCAAACUCCGAAUACCGUGGUAUCAUACUUGGGAGUCAGACUAUGAGAGAUAAGUUCCAUGGUCGAAAGGGAAACAGCCCAGAUCAACAGCUAAGGUCCCAAAGAGUAAGUUAAGUGGAAAAGGAUGUGGGAUUGCACAAACAGCUAGGAUGUUGGCUUAGAAGCAGCCAUACAUUUAAAGAGUGCGUAAUAGCUCACUAGUCGAGUGAUCCUGCGCCGAAGAUAAACGGGGCUCAAACUUACCACCGAAGCUUUGGAAUUAGUAUAACUAAUUGGUAGAGGAGCAUUCUAUACAGGUAGAAGGAGGCGCGUAAGCAAAUCUGGACGGUAUAGAAGAGAGAAUGUUGGCAUGAGUAGCGUAAGGCGGGUGAGAAUCCCGUCCGCCGAAAAUCUAAGGUUUCCUGAGGAAGGUUCGUCCUCUCAGGGUAAGUCGGGACCUAAGCCGAGAGCGAACGCUGUAGGCGAUGGACAACAGGUUGAUAUUCCUGUACCACCAAGGAUUGUUUGAAUGAAGUGGGGACACAGAAGGAUAGAUUGAGCACGCCGUUGGUUGAGCGUGUCCAAGCAGCAAGGCUUGAAAGUAGGCAAAUCCGCUUUCUACAAGGCUGAGCUGUGAUGGGGUGGUCGAAUGACCGGUAGCAAUCGAUUUCACGCUGUCAAGAAAAGCCGCUAAUGAGAUCCAAGGUGCCCGUACCGCAAACCGACACAGGUAGAUGAGGAGAGAAUCCUAAGGUGAGCGAGAGAACUAUUGUUAAGGAACUCGGCAAAAUAACCCCGUAACUUCGGGAGAAGGGGUGCCUGCUUCGGCAGGCCGCAGUGAAGAGGUCCAGGCAACUGUUUACCAAAAACACAGGUCUCUGCUAAAGCGAAAGCUGAUGUAUAGGGGCUGACGCCUGCCCGGUGCUGGAAGGUUAAGGGGAAGUGUUAGGGCAACCGAAGCACAGAACUUAAGCCCCAGUAAACGGCGGCCGUAACUAUAACGGUCCUAAGGUAGCGAAAUUCCUUGUCGGGUAAGUUCCGACCCGCACGAAAGG